UACGAAGGGGGCUAGCGUUGCUCGGAAUCACUGGGCGUAAAGGGUGCGUAGGCGGGUUUUUAAGUCAGGGGUGAAAUCCUGGAGCUCAACUCCAGAACUGCCUUUGAUACUGAAGAUCUCGAGUCCGGGAGAGGUGAGUGGAACUGCGAGUGUAGAGGUGAAAUUCGUAGAUAUUCGCAAGAACACCAGUGGCGAAGGCGGCUCACUGGCCCGGUACUGACGCUGAGGCGCGAAAGCGUGGGGAGCAAACAGG
RNAcentral lists this ribosomal RNA (253 nucleotides) under uncultured bacterium. RNAcentral's name for it is "partial 16S ribosomal RNA". It matches the Rfam family "Bacterial small subunit ribosomal RNA", at positions 524 to 776 of the family's 1533-position model. The record is from RNAcentral.